Molecule: ribosomal RNA, 486 nt
Filed under: uncultured Anoxybacillus sp.
Lineage: Bacteria; Bacillati; Bacillota; Bacilli; Caryophanales; Anoxybacillaceae
Description: bacterial SSU rRNA
Rfam family: Bacterial small subunit ribosomal RNA
Source: RNAcentral
UACAAAGGAAGUUGACGGGGCCCGCACAAGCGGUGGAGCAUGUGGUUAAUUCGAAGCAACGCGAAGAACCUUACCAGGUCUUGACAUCCCUCGACAACCCGAGAGAUCGGGCGUUCCCCCGUUCGGGGGACGAGGGUGACAGGUGGUGCAUGGUUGUCGUCAGCUCGUGUCGUGAGAUGUUGGGUUAAGUCCCGCAACGAGCGCAACCCUCGACCUUAGUUGCCAGCAUUCAGUUGGGCACUCUAAGGUGACUGCCGGCUAAAAGUCGGAGGAAGGUGGGGAUGACGUCAAAUCAUCAUGCCCCUUAUGACCUGGGCUACACACGUGCUACAAUGGGCGGUACAAAGGGUCGCGAACCCGCGAGGGGGAGCCAAUCCCAAAAAGCCGCUCUCAGUUCGGAUUGCAGGCUGCAACUCGCCUGCAUGAAGCCGGAAUCGCUAGUAAUCGCGGAUCAGCAUGCCGCGGUCGAAUACGUUCCCGGGCCUU